This 422-nucleotide ribosomal RNA is filed under the name uncultured Streptococcus sp. RNAcentral's name for it is "bacterial SSU rRNA". It matches the Rfam family "Bacterial small subunit ribosomal RNA", at positions 957 to 1382 of the family's 1533-position model. Lineage: Bacteria; Bacillati; Bacillota; Bacilli; Lactobacillales; Streptococcaceae. The record is from RNAcentral.
CAACGCGAAGAACCUUACCAGGUCUUGACAUCCCGAUGCUAUUUCUAGAGAUAGAAAGUUACUUCGGUACAUCGGUGACAGUGGUGCAUGGUUGUCGUCAGCUCGUGUCGUGAGAUGUUGGGUUAAGUCCCGCAACGAGCGCAACCCCUAUUGUUAGUUGCCAUCAUUCAGUUGGGCACUCUAGCGAGACUGCCGGUAAUAAACCGGAGGAAGUGGGGAUGACGUCAAAUCAUCAUGCCCCUUAUGACCUGGGCUACACACGUGCUACAAUGGUUGGUACAACGAGUUGCGAGUCGGUGACGGCGAGCUAAUCUCUUAAAGCCAAUCUCAGUUCGGAUUGUAGGCGGCAACUCGCCUACAUGAAGUCGGAAUCGCUAGUAAUCGCGGAUCAGCACGCCGCGGUGAAUACGUUCCCGGGCCUU